GUGGGGAAUAUUGGACAAUGGGCGAAAGCCUGAUCCAGCAAUGCCGCGUGAGUGAUGAAGGCCUUAGGGUUGUAAAGCUCUUUUACCAGGGAUGAUAAUGACAGUACCUGGAGAAUAAGCUCCGGCUACUCCGUGCCAGCAGCCGCGGUAAUACGGAGGGAGCUAGCGUUGUUCGGAAUUACUGGGCGUAAAGCGCGCGUAGGCGGCUCAGCAAGUCAGGGGUGAAAUCCCGGGGCUCAACCCCGGAACUGCCUUUGAAACUGCUAGGCUAGAAUCCUGGAGAGGCGAGUGGAAUUCCGAGUGUAGAGGUGAAAUUCGUAGAUAUUCGGAAGAACACCAGUGGCGAAGGCGACUCGCUGGACAGGUAUUGACGCUGAGGUGCGAAAGCGUGGGGAGCAAACAGGAUUAGAAACCCCGGUAGUCC
This 424-nucleotide ribosomal RNA is filed under the name uncultured bacterium. RNAcentral describes it as "partial 16S ribosomal RNA". It matches the Rfam family "Bacterial small subunit ribosomal RNA", at positions 354 to 796 of the family's 1533-position model. The record is from RNAcentral.